UUGAUUCUGGCUCCGGACGAACGCUGGCGGCGUGCUUAACACAUGCAAGUCGAGCGAUGAAACUACUUCGGUAGUGAAUUAGCGGCGAACGGGUGAGGAACACGUGAGGAAUCUGCCUUCUACACUGGGAUAACUCCGGGAAACCGGGGCUAAUACCGGAUAUGAAACUUGGUGGCAUCACCGAGUUUGGAAAGUUUUUCGGUAGAAGAUGACCUCGCGGCCUAUCAGCUUGUUGGUGAGGUAAUGGCUCACCAAGGCGACGACGGGUAGCCGGCCUGAGAGGGCGACCGGCCACACUGGGACUGAGACACGGCCCAGACUCCUACGGGAGGCAGCAGUGGGGAAUAUUGGGCAAUGGAGGAAACUCUGACCCAGCGACGCCGCGUGAGGGAUGAAGGCCUUCGGGUUGUAAACCUCUUUCAGUAGGGAAGAAGCGAAAGUGACGGUACCUACAGAAGAAGCACCGGCUAACUAUGUGCCAGCAGCCGCGGUAAUACAUAGGGUGCAAGCGUUGUCCGGAAUUAUUGGGCGUAAAGAGCUCGUAGGUGGUUCGAUACGUCGGAUGUGAAAAUCAGGGGCUCAACCCCUGACCUGCAUCCGAUACGGUCGAGCUAGAGUUUGGUAGGGGAGACUGGAAUUCCUGGUGUAGCGGUGGAAUGCGCAGAUAUCAGGAGGAACACCGAUGGCGAAGGCAGGUCUCUGGGCCAAUACUGACACUGAGGAGCGAAAGCGUGGGGAGCGAACAGGAUUAGAUACCCUGGUAGUCCACGCCGUAAACGGUGGGCGCUAGUUGUGCGAACCUUCCACGGUUUGUGCGACGCAGCUAACGCAUUAAGCGCCCCGCCUGGGGAGUACGAUCGCAAGAUUAAAACUCAAAGGAAUUGACGG
This 888-nucleotide ribosomal RNA is filed under the name uncultured Micrococcineae bacterium. RNAcentral describes it as "bacterial SSU rRNA". It matches the Rfam family "Bacterial small subunit ribosomal RNA", at positions 13 to 916 of the family's 1533-position model. Lineage: Bacteria; Bacillati; Actinomycetota; Actinomycetes; Micrococcales. The record is from RNAcentral.